Xenia sp. Carnegie-2017 is the source of this 832-nucleotide long non-coding RNA. RefSeq lists it as uncharacterized. The record is from RefSeq and is a predicted model, not a curated record. Lineage: Eukaryota; Metazoa; Cnidaria; Anthozoa; Malacalcyonacea; Xeniidae. The transcript is spliced from 3 exons.
CAUAGAAAACAAGCGAACAGAAAUAUCAAUAAAAUUUGAAAAUUAUCAAAAUGUGCAAGUGCUUGCCUGUAGUUCUAAGUAUCAUGUGUUUGCUAAAGUAGAGUUUGAGGAGGAAACAAUAUAUUAUAUGUGGCAUGAAGAUAAUCUAGUAAAUAGUUGGGAUGACAUGAUUCAGAGGGAAAUCACUAGAACCAUACAAGAUAAAGAACUAGAUGAUUGGGAUGAUAUAAUCCAGGAAGAAAUGACGAGCAGCAUGGAAGAUGCAGCACUAGAUGGUUUGGAUGACCUAUCCCAGAAUGAAAUCAUGCUAAACAUAGAAGAAGAGUAUUCACCUUUCUCAUUAGCUGACGUCCUGGUGAAUUGUGCAAAACUUAUCUUGUCACAAGAAUAAACUUCAUGUUUCAAUGUAAAAAUUCUCGGGAGGGCAGAGACGGGCUUGGGCAAUAACUUGCCUCAACUUAAAAUUUUUGAAAAUUGUCCUCGGAUCACCAACAUGCAACCAACUUUUAAGGCGUUAACGAUCGAUACACCUACCCUCCCCCCCCGCUCCUCCCAAUAAAAAAUAUGCUUCAUGGUACCUGCAUCAUACGUAAAUUCAAUUUCAAGAACGCAUGUGCCAGUGAAAAAUAUUCAAUAUCAACCAUAUAAAUCUGAGAUAAUUUAAUUAAAAAAGAAAAUUGAAUAAGAAUGUUAAAUAACAGUGGAAAAAUUAUGAAGAAACAACAUAAGUUUAUUUAAAAAAAAUUAUUUUAUGCCAAACUCAAGCUCGUAUAACAUGUGAACUAGUGAGAGUUUUUAAUGAAAAUAAUACUCAGCAUUGUUAGUCUAUGUA